ACGGGUGCGUAACGCGUGGGAAUAUACCUAUUGGUUCGGAACAACUGCGGGAAACUGCAGCUAAUACCGAAUGUGCCCUUACGGGGAAAGAUUUAUCGCCAAUGGAUUAGCCCGCGUCCGAUUAGCUAGUUGGUGGGGUAAUGGCCCACCAAGGCUCCGAUCGGUAGCUGUUCUGAGAGGAAGAUCAGCCACACUGGGACUGAGACACGGCCCAGACUCCUACGGGAGGCAGCAGUGGGGAAUUUUGCGCAAUGGGGGAAACCCUGACGCAGCAACGCCGCGUGGAGGAUGAAGUCCCUUGGGACGUAAACUCCUUUCGACCGGGACGAUUAUGACGGUACCGGUGGAAGAAGCCCCGGCUAACUUCGUGCCAGCAGCCGCGG
Molecule: ribosomal RNA, 383 nt
Filed under: uncultured bacterium
Lineage: Bacteria
Description: bacterial SSU rRNA
Rfam family: Bacterial small subunit ribosomal RNA
Source: RNAcentral